RNAcentral lists this ribosomal RNA (406 nucleotides) under uncultured bacterium. Its description in RNAcentral is "partial 16S ribosomal RNA". It matches the Rfam family "Bacterial small subunit ribosomal RNA", at positions 30 to 526 of the family's 1533-position model. The record is from RNAcentral.
AUUGAACGCUGGCGGCAGGCCUAACACAUGCAAGUCGAACGAGCGGCGGACGGGUGAGUAAUGUCUGGGGAACUGCCUGAUGGAGGGGGAUAACUACUGGAAACGGUAGCUAAUACCGCUUACCAUCAGAUGUACCCAUAUGGGAUUAGCUUGUUGGUGGGGUAACGGCUUACCUAGGCGACGAUCCCUAGCUGGUCUGAGAGGAUGAUCAGCCACCCUGGGACUGAGACCCGGCCCAGACGCCUACGGGAGGCAGCAGUGGGGAAUAUUGCACAAUGGGCGCAAGCCUGAUGCAGCCAUGCCGCGUGUAUGAAGAAGGCCUUCGGGUUGUAAAGUACUUUCAGUCGGGAGGCGUUACCGGCAGAAGAAGCACCGGCUAACUCCGUGCCAGCAGCCGCGGUAAUUC